Non-coding RNA from Mycena leptocephala, 100 nucleotides. Lineage: Eukaryota; Fungi; Basidiomycota; Agaricomycetes; Agaricales; Mycenaceae. The record is from the annotation of a GenBank genome assembly.
UCGGACGUGGUGCAUGGUGCACGCCUCCACACACUAUGGCCCUGGGAAAACGUAGUGCAGUUUGUGGCGCAAGUCCUGGGUUCGACUCCCAGCGUCCGAA